Long non-coding RNA from Saccostrea cuccullata (small rock oyster), 1241 nucleotides. RefSeq lists it as uncharacterized. Lineage: Eukaryota; Metazoa; Mollusca; Bivalvia; Ostreida; Ostreidae. The record is from RefSeq and is a predicted model, not a curated record. The transcript has 3 exons.
UUAUUGCUUAAAAUAAAAAAAAAAAAAAAAUUUGAUGUUAAGCAAAAGCAUACAAUGUCAAAAAACCUUUAAUACCUUACUUGCUCAAUUCUCAUGUUCUGGCAAAAAUAUGACUAAUAUAUAUACUGACUUGAAAAAGAAUUAAAACAUUGAAUUAAAAAAAAAAACAUUUGGUAUAAUUUUGAAUGAGCUAAAAAUGGGACAUCUUCAACUUUGUGUAGUGAGAGGUUGGCUGAUUUUCAUUCUGUUUCUGGACCCAAGUCCUCACAAUUAAAACAAAGCAUUUCUUUUCUAGAAAUUGACAAUGAUUAGGUUUAUAUGAGUGUGUUUCUUAGUAUAGGUAUAGCAGCAGUGAGCACUAUUAGCUAAAAAAUUGUUUCUUUGUCUUCUGUGAUGCCAAGGCCUACUGAAAAUGACCAUGUGCAGGUAUUGGAACUGCAUCAGUCUCAAAAUGAAAUUUGUACAAGUUACAAGUAAAAAUUGUGUAACAAAAAAAGCAUACAUCGUAUAAUUCAUGUAACAAUCAUAGCUUAAAUUGAAGAAAAGUUGGAAGUUCAUAGCUGACGCAAAGAUUCUUUAUGAACUGAAUGUUCGUCAUGGUCUUCACCCAGUGUUUAUUGACAGAUUUAAGGUCAUUUGUUCCAGGGAAAAAAAGGGGAAAAUUUGUUUCUGGUUCAUAAUAAUUAGAUAAAUAUUGGUAGCAACAAUUUUAAAAAAUCCUGUGGGGGCAUCAUUUUUGUUGGCCUUUAGUUCUGCAUUAUCUCAGCAUCAUUCAUGAUGCUGGUUUGUUUUGAGCUCUACUGGUCAGAGACCAGAAGAGCUUAUGCGAUAGUAUGUUGUCCGUCUGUCUAGCUGUCUGUCUGCAGACAAUUUUUCAAAAUGCAACUUCUCCUACAGAUUUGGUCUGAUUUCAGUACAACUUGGCACACAAGUAGACUACACCAAGAUACAUAAUUCUGUGCAUCUGUUUUUGAUUUGAUGAAUGGUGUUGCUCUGAUUACUAAAAAUAGAAAUUUCUUUGAAAUACUUUCAAAAUGCUACUCCCCCUAACAGUUUUGGUCUGAUUUCAAUAUAACUUGGCACACAAGUAGACUACACUAAAAUACGUAAUUCUAUAUAUUGCUUGCCUGUUGCAAAGUUUCAAAUCCAAGUGCUACUUUUCCUUUGUUAUACGUACAGACCAGUAGAGCUACAGUCUUAUCAGAGACUUCUGGUUUCUCCAUUAUCUCCGUAUUGUUCAU